AACUUUCGACAAUGGAUCUCUUGGUUCCGGCAUCGAUGAAGAACGCAGCGAAAUGCGAUAACUAAUGUGAAUUGCAGAAUUCAGUGAAUCAUCGAGUCUUUGAACGCACAUUGCGCCCCCUGGUAUUCCGGGGGGCAUGCCUGUCCGAGCGUCAUUGCUGCCCUCAAGCACGGCUUGUGUGUUGGGCUCCGUCCCCCCGGGGACGGGCCCGAAAGGCAGCGGCGGCACCGAGUCCGGUCCUCGAGCGUAUGGGGCUUUGUCACCCGCUCUGUAGGCCCGGCCGGCGCCAGCCGACAACCCAUCAUCCUUUUCAGGUUGACCUCGGAUCAGGUAGGGAUACCCGCUGAACUUAAGCAUAUCAAUAAGCGGAGGCU
This 374-nucleotide unclassified non-coding RNA is filed under the name uncultured Penicillium. Its description in RNAcentral is "sequence contains ITS2". The stretch from base 1 to 154 matches the Rfam family "5.8S ribosomal RNA". The record is from RNAcentral. Lineage: Eukaryota; Fungi; Ascomycota; Eurotiomycetes; Eurotiales; Aspergillaceae.